GUGAGACGCAGAGGGACUCUGGUUCACUCACCUGCAGGGGCUUUCAGGGCCACUGCGGCGCCUCACCGCGCCGCGCGGGCUCUCUAGAACACGGAGGGGGCGUCUCGGGGUGCCUGAAGCUUAGUCGCGGUGUCCCUUGUCGCUGAAUAGGAGAGAUGCAGGAAUCGUUGUUGCUCGCCCAACACCCCUGACUCUCGCACAAGUAGGAACAACCUGGGGCUGGCAGCACGGUAAGCUCAGGUAGCAGGGGCUGUCAGAUCCGCCGUCCCAGGUUAUUGAACCUAGGAUUUGUGCAUCCUGGGCAAAUGCUCUCGCACAGAGAUAAAUGGGCAGCCCACCCAGGCUCUUUCUACUUGGCCUUGAAAGUUGGAUGCUCUUACCAAGAUACAGAACUCCUAUGGACCAAGACAACAGUCAGUUUAGAGAUUAAGGGGCAGAACACAGGUGUGCUUGGUAACUGGAAUGGCCAAAAAAUGUUCCAGUAAUACUUUAUUAACCCUGAGGAUUUUAAAGUGCAGAGCUGUUGAAGAGAGCAUGUAUACAUCUGGCAACUAUGAAAGAUUUUCUGUUGGAUGCCAUCUGCUGUGCAGAGGAGAUGGAUAAGCCUAUGAAGCGAGAGCUGCUUUUCUUAGAAUCACAUGGGGAAAUCUUCAGAACUGUUAA
Molecule: long non-coding RNA, 663 nt
Filed under: Mus pahari (shrew mouse)
Lineage: Eukaryota; Metazoa; Chordata; Mammalia; Rodentia; Muridae
Description: RIKEN cDNA 9130019P16 gene (MGP_PahariEiJ_G0012265.1)
Source: RNAcentral